RNAcentral lists this unclassified non-coding RNA (334 nucleotides) under soil metagenome. RNAcentral describes it as "partial contains 5.8S ribosomal RNA, internal transcribed spacer 2, and large subunit ribosomal RNA". The stretch from base 1 to 120 matches the Rfam family "5.8S ribosomal RNA", at positions 35 to 154 of the family's 154-position model. The record is from RNAcentral.
GAUGAAGAACGUAGCGAAAUGCGAUAAGUAAUGUGAAUUGCAGAAUUCAGUGAAUCAUCGAAUCUUUGAACGCACAUUGCGCCCGCCUGUAUUCUGGCGGGCAUGCCUGUUCGAGCGUCAUUUCAACCAUCAAGCCCUGCUUGCGUUGGGGUCCUGCGGCUGCCCGCAGGCCCUGAAAACCAGUGGCGGGCUCGCUAGUCACACCGAGCGCAGUAAUACAUCUCGCUUUGGGCGUGCGGCGGGUUCUUGCCGUUAAACACCCCCUUUUUACCAAGGUUGACCUCGGAUCAGGUAGGAAUACCCGCUGAACUUAAGCAUAUCAAUAAGCGGAGGA